This 429-nucleotide ribosomal RNA is filed under the name bacterium. RNAcentral's name for it is "partial 16S ribosomal RNA". It matches the Rfam family "Bacterial small subunit ribosomal RNA", at positions 355 to 776 of the family's 1533-position model. The record is from RNAcentral.
UAGGGAAUCUUCGGCAAUGGGGGCAACCCUGACCGAGCAACGCCGCGUGAGUGAAGAAGGUUUUCGGAUCGUAAAGCUCUGUUGUAAGAGAAGAACGUGUGUGAGAGUGGAAAGUUCACACAGUGACGGUAACUUACCAGAAAGGGACGGCUAACUACGUGCCAGCAGCCGCGGUAAUACGUAGGUCCCGAGCGUUGUCCGGAUUUAUUGGGCGUAAAGCGAGCGCAGGCGGUUUAAUAAGUCUGAAGUUAAAGGCAGUGGCUUAACCAUUGUUCGCUUUGGAAACUGUUAAACUUGAGUGCAGAAGGGGAGAGUGGAAUUCCAUGUGUAGCGGUGAAAUGCGUAGGUAUAUGGAGGAACACCGGUGGCGAAAGCGGCUCUCUGGUCUGUAACUGACGCUGAGGCUCGAAAGCGUGGGGAGCAAACAGG